This is a long non-coding RNA of Ctenopharyngodon idella (grass carp), 1063 nucleotides long. RefSeq lists it as uncharacterized. The transcript is spliced from 3 exons. NCBI's taxonomy places the organism in Eukaryota, Metazoa, Chordata, Actinopteri, Cypriniformes, Xenocyprididae. The record is from RefSeq and is a predicted model, not a curated record.
GUUCUAGCACUGAACCCCAUUCAUUUUCAGUGACUCUGAAGUUCGCUCGCUGUUCUGUCCAGCAGCAGGCUUGACUCGACUCCAGACCCGGUCUCCUCUGGGCUCUGACACAGGCUGUUUCCACCUGGAGUUAAGAUGCAUUUUGGUCGAUCAGAUCAUAAGUGGACGACGGAGACACAUACGCGUUUACAACUGGUGUUUUAAUCCAUCUGAUUUGUCCUCUUUCAACCACUUCUGUCCUGAUUUCUUUGAGGGGGUGGGUAAAUGUAUGGGUUUUUACAGAUCUUUCAAUCUAAUGGACAAAAUAAGCUUGAGCAGUUUACAUAUGAACGCACCCAGAGAUGACAGGAAAACAUAUUGAGAGCAUCAGUGUUCGCUUCUGCUCUGACAGCCGUGAGACCAGCCGAAUGCUGUGAGUGUGUGUUAGAAAUCAGGAAUGGUGAGAGAACAUUGUGCUUGGUACGUUUUUCAUCUUUGAACCAAACUUUGGUCUUCAGCCAACAAAGUUUAAAUCCUGUCUGGCUCGAGGGCUUCCCAUAAUGUUUACACAUUAGGUCAGUAGAUGGAGAGUAGAGUAAACAUGAGCGUUUACACUACGAAAGCAGUCCGGUCGAAUGCAUUUGCGUCUACUUCUGGAAGUGGUCGAAAGUGGACAAACUUAAACCGUUUUAGAUCUGUUUACACCUGUAUUUAAUGUUGUCCACUUGUGAUCCGAUCAGCCAAAACGCAUCUUAAUACCAGGUGGAAACAGGCCCACAGUCUGCUUCUGGCAGUGGAAUGCUCUCACCCAAAAAUUCAACAGGUCUCCAGAUCAUCCUACGGCUGCGCUGGAAGCAUGUAAUGGCUACUGUGAACACUUAUAUUCCUUCUCUGGCCUGCUUUCUGCCAUCUUUCUCUCCCUGUAGGAAGUCGAAUGAGUUUCUUUGAAGACAGAACAUUCAAGGAAAACUUACCUACCCUCUCCCUGGAUAUAAUAUAUAAUUAAAUGUUUUGUUGAAUGCAAUUGUUUGCCUUGUAUAUUUUUCACUGUUGACCAAACUUCUUUCUUGACUUAAACUGAGCA